Molecule: ribosomal RNA, 406 nt
Filed under: uncultured bacterium
Lineage: Bacteria
Description: partial 16S ribosomal RNA
Rfam family: Bacterial small subunit ribosomal RNA
Source: RNAcentral
AUUGAACGCUGGCGGCAGGCCUAACACACGCAAGUCUGGCGAGCGGCGGACUGGUGAGUAAUGUAUGGGGAUCUGCCUGAUGGAGGGGGAUAACUACUGGAAACGGUAGCUAAUACCGCAUACCUUCAGAUGAACCCAUAUGGGUUUAGCUUGUAGGUGAGGUAACGGCUCACCUAGGCGACGAUCCCUAGCUGGUCUGAGAGGAUGAUCAGCAACACUAGGACUGAGACACGGCCCAGGAUCCUACGGGAGGCAGCGGUGGGGAAUGUUGCACAAUGGGCGCAAGCCUGAUGCAGCCAUGCCGCGUGUAUGAAGAAGGCCUUCGGGUUGUAAAGUACUUUCAGUCGGGAGGCGUUACCGACAGAAGAAGCACCGGCUAACUCCGUGCCAGCAGCCGCGGUAAUUC